RNAcentral lists this ribosomal RNA (637 nucleotides) under uncultured bacterium. RNAcentral describes it as "bacterial SSU rRNA". It matches the Rfam family "Bacterial small subunit ribosomal RNA", at positions 607 to 1244 of the family's 1533-position model. The record is from RNAcentral.
GCUCAACCGGGGAGGGUCAUUGGAAACUGGGGAACUUGAGUGCAGAAGAGGAGAGUGGAAUUCCACGUGUAGCGGUGAAAUGCGUAGAGAUGUGGAGGAACACCAGUGGCGAAGGCGACUCUCUGGUCUGUAACUGACGCUGAGGAGCGAAAGCGUGGGGAGCGAACAGGAUUAGAUACCCUGGUAGUCCACGCCGUAUACGAUGAGUGCUAAGUGUUAGGGGGUUUCCGCCCCUUAGUGCUGCAGCUAACGCAUUAAGCACUCCGCCUGGGGAGUACGGUCGCAAGACUGAAACUCAAAGGAAUUGAUGGGGGCCCGCACAAGCGGUGGAGCAUGUGGUUUAAUUCGAAGCAACGCGAAGAACCUUACCAGGUCUUGACAUCCUCUGACAAUCCGAGAGAUAGGACGUCCCCUUCGGGGGCAGAGUGACAGGUGGUGCAUGGUUGUCGUCAGCUCGUGUCGUGAGAUGUUGGGUUAAGUCCCGCAACGAGCGCAACCCUUGAUCUUAGUUGCCAGCAUUCAGUUGGGCACUCUAAGGUGACUGCCGGUGACAGACCGGAGGAAGGUGGGAAUGACGUCAAAUCAUCAUGCCCCUUAUGACCUGGGCUACACACGUGCUACAAUGGACAGAACAAAG